RNAcentral lists this ribosomal RNA (497 nucleotides) under uncultured bacterium. RNAcentral describes it as "partial 16S ribosomal RNA". It matches the Rfam family "Bacterial small subunit ribosomal RNA", at positions 28 to 507 of the family's 1533-position model. The record is from RNAcentral.
GAUGAACGCUGGCGGCGUGCCUAAUACAUGCAAGUCGAGCGAACAGACGAGGAGCUUGCUCCUCUGACGUUAGCGGCGGACGGGUGAGUAACACGUGGAUAACCUACCUAUAAGACUGGGAUAACUUCGGGAAACCGGAGCUAAUACCGGAUAACAUGUUGAACCGCAUGGUUCAACAGUGAAAGACGGUCUUGCUGUCACUUAUAGAUGGAUCCGCGCCGCAUUAGCUAGUUGGUAAGGUAACGGCUUACCAAGGCAACGAUGCGUAGCCGACCUGAGAGGGUGAUAGGACACACUAGACGUGAGACACGGUCCAGACUCCUACGAGAGGCAGCAGUAGGGAAUCUUCCGCAAUGGGCGAAAGCCUGACGGAGCAACGCCGCGUGAGUGAAGAAGGUCUUCGGAUCGUAAAACUCUGUUAUUAGAGAAGAACAAAUGUGUAAGUAACUAUGCACGUCUUGACGGUACCUAAUCAGAAAGCCACGGCUAACUACGUG